This is a non-coding RNA of Carica papaya (papaya), 284 nucleotides long. NCBI's taxonomy places the organism in Eukaryota, Viridiplantae, Streptophyta, Magnoliopsida, Brassicales, Caricaceae. The record is from RefSeq and is a predicted model, not a curated record.
GUGGAGACAAAUAUUAUAUUUUUCGACGUAAUGGAGGACUCGAGGAAGACUGCAGAGAGACUGUGCAAAUACCUCAAAGAUCACGGGAUACUCGUGUUUUACGUGGGCAAAUCCAGGAUUAGAAUUGUUCUUCACCACCAAAUUUCAGCAGGUGAUGUGCAGUACACUCUGUCAUGCUUUCAGCAAGCUUUAACUGGGGAAUAUGAUGAAAAUUGCAACAACUAGUGGGGGAGGAAAGAAAUUCCUCAUGGAGAUCUCUUAAGAGGGCUUACUCACAUGUAAAA